GAUGAAGAACGUAGCGAAAUGCGAUACGUAAUGUGAAUUGCAGAAUUCAGUGAAUCAUCGAGUCUUUGAACGCACAUUGCGCCCUCUGGUAUUCCGGAGGGCAUGCCUGUCCGAGCGUCAUUGCUGCCCUCAAGCACGGCUUGUGUGUUGGGCUCCGUCCCCCGAUCCCGGGGGACGGGCCCGAAAGGCAGCGGCGGCACCGCGUCCGGUCCUCGAGCGUAUGGGGCUUUGUCACUCGCUCUGUAGGCCCGGCCGGCGCUUGCCGAUCAACCAAAUUUUUAUCCAGGUUGACCUCGGAUCAGGUAGGGAUACCCGCUGAACUUAAGCAUAUCAAUAAGCGGAGGA
RNAcentral lists this unclassified non-coding RNA (345 nucleotides) under soil metagenome. RNAcentral's name for it is "partial contains 5.8S ribosomal RNA, internal transcribed spacer 2, and large subunit ribosomal RNA". The stretch from base 1 to 120 matches the Rfam family "5.8S ribosomal RNA", at positions 35 to 154 of the family's 154-position model. The record is from RNAcentral.